GAUGAACGCUGGCUACAGGCUUAACACAUGCAAGUCGAGGGGAAACGACGGGGAAGCUUGCUUCCCCGGGCGUCGACCGGCGCACGGGUGAGUAACGCGUAUCCAACCUGCCUCUGACUGAGGGAUAACCCGUCGAAAGUCGGCCUAAUACCUCAUGGCAUCGUCUGCGGGCAUCCAACGACGAUUAAAGAUUUCAUCGGUCAGAGAUGGGGAUGCGUCUGAUUAGCUUGUUGGCGGGGUAACGGCCCACCAAGGCGACGAUCAGUAGGGGUUCUGAGAGGAAGGUCCCCCACAUUGGAACUGAGACACAGUCCAAACUCCUACGGGAGGCAGCAGUGAGGAAUAUUGGGCAAUGGGCGAGAGCCUGAACCAGCCAAGUAGCGUGCAGGAUGACGGCCCUAUGGGUUGUAAACUGCUUUUAUGCGGGGAUAAAGUGAGGGACGUGUCCUUCAUUGCAGGUACCGCAUGAAUAAGGACCGGCUAAUUCCGUG
Molecule: ribosomal RNA, 491 nt
Filed under: uncultured bacterium
Lineage: Bacteria
Description: partial 16S ribosomal RNA
Rfam family: Bacterial small subunit ribosomal RNA
Source: RNAcentral